This is a long non-coding RNA of Lolium rigidum, 1562 nucleotides long. RefSeq lists it as uncharacterized. Lineage: Eukaryota; Viridiplantae; Streptophyta; Magnoliopsida; Poales; Poaceae. The transcript is spliced from 5 exons. The record is from RefSeq and is a predicted model, not a curated record.
AACCAAUUCUUGCAACAGAUGCUUAUGUUCAGAUUUCUUGUGGAAUGCCGCCUUUCAUUGAUGUGCAAUCCUUAAAGAAAUACAUGAGGGUGGUCAGGAAGUAUUUAAGCGUGUUGGUGCCUACUACAGAAAAUGGCAGCAUCAAAAAUGGUAUUUAGCCCUAAUGAUGCAUUUUUCUACUUCAUUCCCAUAGUAGAUAAAUUAUUUUUGAUUCAAUUGCAUUUGAUCUAUAACCCUCCGGCUAUUUUGAUUCAGGUAUAUUGUAGAGCAAGAAUAUCAAUAUCUCUGUUUCCAUGUUCAGUGAAUACAUGUGAACAAACUCGAACUGGUACUGGGGCGUUAGUUUCCAGAUCCAUUCUUAUUGAUUUUGCUAAUUUUUCUUAACAUUAACAUAGAAAUGCAACCAAACAGAAUUGGUAAGUUCUUCCCACUUCCCUGCUGAGAGACACGUCAUCUUCAGCUCAAAGCAACACCUACUUUUUUAAUGUGUAAUUUGGAACCCUUUCAGUUCAUCCUUACAGAUUGCUACUGAUAUUUUUGGCUGCUUCAAAAUGAUUAUUGAUGCAUGAUUAGUGAUAUACCUAGUGAGAGGUGACAAAUUUGAUAUGUCUUUACAGCUGCAGAUUACUAAGCUUUCAUUGGGAAUUGCGAUGUAUUAGUACCACCUUUUGUCUUUACUUCAAGAACCUAAAACAAUAUGUAUAAUACUUGGGUUCAAAGUUUUGACCUGUUGUGGUUAAUUCUUGCUUCCUUUCUUUCUCCUAAAAUCAUGUCCAUUUCCAAUUAUGUGAAUCCUUUGUUUCAGGGCCUGAAGAGGAAGUUUUUGCAUUGCUUGCACGGUAAAUUGGGUGAACUUCUGAGAUUAUUUGGGCAUUUUUUUACCUGUGAGCCUAUGUGCCCAUUCACUAGCCCUAUGCGCCCAUCCCUGAAGCUCCGGUUCAUCUAGAUGAAUGAAUUUUGUGGUAUGGCUGUAGGUCGACAGUAACUAUGGUAAAAGAAACCAACGAAUUGGUCUGCAAGGUUGGGAUUCACCAAUUGCCAACAGUCAGAAUAUUCAAAAUAUAUACGAUUUAGAAGGCAGAUAGGGAGCUUGCAAUGAGCGGGAAGAACACUGACAAGCUGCAGGCGGCUGGGUCCUUCCUGAUGAAGGUUUUCGGUGCACUAGCGAUUUAAUCUAUGGAUGUCAGUGAGAUUCCAUCCAGGGUCAUCAUCAAGGUGGCGCUCACCGUCCGCAGUUUCCAAAACCAUUAACACACAAUACCCACCAAGGGCGAAGGGAGAAGUGCUGGUGACAUUCUCUCCGAUAGCAUCUCCUGAACAUCAUUCCGAUGGAGAAGUCCAACUAUACAACCAACAACCUUUGAUAUGUUGUAAUAAUGACUGUUUACAUAGUGUUUCACCCAUUGAAUAGUUUUUUUCAUUUGAUGUUUUAUUACCGUCGAUGUCUAUAGAUGUUAAUAUAGCACUUUACAAACUAUUUACUGGGGCCGCAAGUCAUGCAAGCCACAAAAUGUUGCUCUACUUCAUCUUUUCUUGAUUGUAUAUAAGCGUUUGCUACUCCA